GAGGGUGGAGCUCAGUGGUAGAGUGUGUGCUUAGCAUGCACAAGGUCCUGGGUUCAAUCCCUAGCACCUCCA
Molecule: transfer RNA, 72 nt
Filed under: Camelus bactrianus (Bactrian camel)
Lineage: Eukaryota; Metazoa; Chordata; Mammalia; Artiodactyla; Camelidae
Also listed under: 3 other names
Rfam family: tRNA
About the family: Transfer RNA (tRNA) molecules are approximately 80 nucleotides in length. Their secondary structure includes four short double-helical elements and three loops (D, anti-codon, and T loops).
Source: Rfam by way of RNAcentral